ACGUGGGUGAUACACUCUUCCUAUUUCUUCUUGGCAGAGAAGAAUUCAGUGAUGACUUCAAGUGGCAUUCCCUUUGUUUCAGGAACUUUUAGGAAUACAAACACCCAUGAUAUGAUGCAAACAACUGCAUACAUCCCGAAAACACCAGCAAGCCCGAUGGAGUUGAGCAACACAGGUAGCGUAUACGUGACGAUGAUGUCGCCAAUCCAAAAUGUUAGUGCACAAAUCGCAAUGCAAAGGCCACGGACUCGGGUCGGGAAGAUUUCUGCACAUAAUAUGUUUGGGAUUGGCCCAAAUCCCAUCACGAAGAAACAGAAGUAAACAACUACACUGAUUGUUGAGAUUGAUGCAUUCACUACGCUGCCCAUGUGCACUAGGCUACCAAAAACUAGGAUGAUGAGGGAUGCUAUCAAGGCAGGGAUGGUCCAUAGUAAUAAAGUCCUACGACCCGAGAUGUCCAUUAGUCUCAUGGCCACUGCAAUUGAAGGGAGCAUCA
RNAcentral lists this unclassified non-coding RNA (496 nucleotides) under Hevea brasiliensis (rubber tree). Lineage: Eukaryota; Viridiplantae; Streptophyta; Magnoliopsida; Malpighiales; Euphorbiaceae. The record is from RNAcentral.